UACGGAGGAUCCGAGCGUUAUCCGGAUUUAUUGGGUUUAAAGGGUGCGCAGGCGGGAGAUUAAGUCGGCGGUGAAAUUUUGCAGCUCAACUGUAAAAGUGCCUUCGAAACUGGUUUCCUUGAGUGUAGAUGAAGUAGGCGGAAUUUGUGGUGUAGCGGUGAAAUGCAUAGAUAUCACGAGGAACUCCGAUUGCGCAGGCAGCUUACUAAACUACUACUGAAGCUCUGGCACGAAGGCGUGGGGAUCAAACAGGAUUAGAUACCCUGGUA
This 269-nucleotide ribosomal RNA is filed under the name uncultured prokaryote. Its description in RNAcentral is "partial 16S ribosomal RNA". It matches the Rfam family "Bacterial small subunit ribosomal RNA", at positions 524 to 792 of the family's 1533-position model. The record is from RNAcentral.